AGUGAACGCUGGCGGUAGGCCUAACACAUGCAAGUCGAACGGCAGCACAGUAAGAGCUCGCUCUUACGGGUGGCGAGUGGCGGACGGGUGAGGAAUACAUCGGAAUCUACUUUUUCGUGGGGGAUAACGUAGGGAAACUUACGCUAAUACCGCAUAUGAUCUACGGGUUAAAGCAGGGGUUCUUCGGACCUUGCCCGUCUCAAUUAGCUGAAGUCGGAUUAGCUUGUUGGCGGGGUAAAGGCCCACCAAGGCGACGAUCCGUAGCUGGUCUGAGAGGAUGAUCAGCCACACUGGAACUGAGACACGGUCCAGACUCCUACGGGAGGCAGCAGUGGGGAAUAUUGGACAAUGGGCGCAAGCCUGAUCCAGCCAUACCGCGUGGGUGAAGAAGGCCUUCGGGUUGUAAAGCCCUUUUGUUGGGAAAGAAAAGCAGCAGAUUAAAACCCCGCUGUUCUGACGGUACCCAAAGAGAAAGCACCGGCUAACUUCGUG
RNAcentral lists this ribosomal RNA (492 nucleotides) under uncultured bacterium. RNAcentral's name for it is "partial 16S ribosomal RNA". It matches the Rfam family "Bacterial small subunit ribosomal RNA", at positions 29 to 507 of the family's 1533-position model. The record is from RNAcentral.